RNAcentral lists this ribosomal RNA (492 nucleotides) under uncultured bacterium. RNAcentral describes it as "partial 16S ribosomal RNA". It matches the Rfam family "Bacterial small subunit ribosomal RNA", at positions 29 to 507 of the family's 1533-position model. The record is from RNAcentral.
AGUGAACGCUGGCGGUAGGCCUAACACAUGCAAGUCGAACGGCAGCACAGUAAGAGCUUGCUCUUACGGGUGGCGAGUGGCGGACGGGUGAGGAAUACAUCGGAAUCUACUUUUUCGUGGGGGAUAACGUAGGGAAACUCACGCUAAUACCGCAUACGACCUACGGGUGAAAGCAGGGGAUCUUCGGACCUUGCGCGAUUGAAUGAGCCGAUGUCGGAUUAGCUAGUUGGCGGGGUAAAGGCCCACCAAGGCGACGAUCCGUAGCUGGUCUGAGAGGAUGGUCAGCCACACUGGAACUGAGACACGGUCCAGACUCCUACGGGAGGCAGCAGUGGGGAAUAUUGGACAAUGGGCGCAAGCCUGAUCCAGCCAUACCGCGUGGGUGAAGAAGGCCUUCGGGUUGUAAAGCCCUUUUGUUGGGAAAGAAAAGCAGCAGGUUAAUACCCCGCUGUUCUGACGGUACCCAAAGAAUAAGCACCGGCUAACUUCGUG